RNAcentral lists this ribosomal RNA (898 nucleotides) under Hypoxylon sp. RNAcentral describes it as "partial large subunit ribosomal RNA". It matches the Rfam family "Eukaryotic large subunit ribosomal RNA", at positions 35 to 961 of the family's 3401-position model. Lineage: Eukaryota; Fungi; Ascomycota; Sordariomycetes; Xylariales; Hypoxylaceae. The record is from RNAcentral.
UAAGCAUAUCAAUAAGCGGAGGAAAAGAAACCAACAGGGAUUGCCCUAGUAACGGCGAGUGAAGCGGCAACAGCUCAAAUUUGAAAUCUGGCCUUCGGGUCCGAGUUGUAAUUUGUAGAGGAUGCUUUGGGUGCGGUACUUUCCGAGUUCCCUGGAACGGGACGCCUUAGAGGGUGAGAGCCCCGUACGGUUGGAUACCAAGCCUAUGUAUAGCUCCUUCGACGAGUCGAGUAGUUUGGGAAUGCUGCUCUAAAUGGGAGGUAAAUUUCUUCUAAAGCUAAAUACCGGCCAGAGACCGAUAGCGCACAAGUAGAGUGAUCGAAAGAUGAAAAGCACUUUGAAAAGAGGGUUAAAUAGCACGUGAAAUUGUUGAAAGGGAAGCGUUUGCGACCAGACCUUUUCCUGGCGGAUCAUCCGGUGUUCUCACCGGUGCACUUCGCCUGGUUUAGGCCAGCAUCGGUUUUCUUAGGGGGAUAAAGGCUCGGGACACGUAGCUCUUUCGGGAGUGUUAUAGUCCCUUGUGCAAUACCCUUCAGGGGACCGAGGACCGCGCAUUGCAAGGAUGCUGGCGUAAUGGUCGUCAACGACCCGUCUUGAAACACGGACCAAGGAGUCGAACAUUUGUGCGAGUGUUUGGGUGUCAAACCCUCACGCGUAAUGAAAGUGAACGGAGGCGAGAGCCCUUCGGGGUGCAUCGUCGACCGAUCCUGAAGUCUUCGGAUGGAUUUGAGUAAGAGCAUAACUGUUCGGACCCGAAAGAUGGUGAACUAUGCGUGGAUAGGGUGAAGCCAGAGGAAACUCUGGUGGAGGCUCGCAGCGGUUCUGACGUGCAAAUCGAUCGUCAAAUCUGCGCAUGGGGGCGAAAGACUUAUCGAACCAUCUAGUAGCUGGUUACCGC